GCAACAAUAGUGAUAAGGAUAUGAAUACAUUCUAUUCAAAUGUAGAGAGAGUGUGAUUGGUGAAAACACUUUGCGAAUGUAUGUAUUUACUCCCUUUGAAUUGCCCUUGAAAAAGUGUGCCGUAAUUCUUGCGUUAAAAGGUUUGAGGUGUAUACAGUAAUUGUAUAAACAAAGGUGGUACCGCGUGCGACAGACGUCCUUUGA
RNAcentral lists this non-coding RNA (204 nucleotides) under Holdemanella biformis. RNAcentral describes it as "Eubacterium biforme T-box sequence". It matches the Rfam family "T-box leader". Rfam says of the family: Uncharged tRNA acts as the effector for transcription antitermination of genes in the T-box leader family. T-boxes are found upstream of many aminoacyl-tRNA synthetase genes and some amino acid biosynthetic genes usually in Gram-positive bacteria. The record is from RNAcentral. Lineage: Bacteria; Bacillati; Bacillota; Erysipelotrichia; Erysipelotrichales; Erysipelotrichaceae.